This 272-nucleotide non-coding RNA is filed under the name Bacillus sp. B-jedd. Lineage: Bacteria; Bacillati; Bacillota; Bacilli; Caryophanales; Bacillaceae. The record is from RNAcentral.
AGUAAAGCGGUGAUUGGGGCCAGUAGAUGGGAUAUGGCGAAAGAGAGUGAAGCUCAGCGGCUGAAAGGCUUCACAGCCCUCUUGAACAUCGAACCUACCCCGGGAGCUGCCAGGCAAACCUGGACGCGUAUCCGGCGAUAUUGGAGUUGAGUGAGCUUUUUUGCAAAAAAGCGGCGCAACGGAUGCUCAUGCAUCCUAGUACGUUGUCCGCUUUUGCCGGCAGGAAAGUGAAUAAAGGUGGUACCACGGAAGAAUGGCCUUUCGUCCUUUGC